Molecule: ribosomal RNA, 433 nt
Filed under: uncultured bacterium
Lineage: Bacteria
Description: partial 16S ribosomal RNA
Rfam family: Bacterial small subunit ribosomal RNA
Source: RNAcentral
AACGAACGCUGGCGGCAUGCCUAACACAUGCAAGUCGAACGAGACCUUCGGGUUUAGUGGCGCACGGGUGCGUAACGCGUGGGAACCUGCCCUUAGGUUCGGAAUAACUCCCCGAAAGGGGUGCUAAUACCGGAUAAUGUCUUUGGAGCAAAGAUUUAUCGCCUUUGGAUGGGCCCGCGUUGGAUUAGCUAGUUGGUGGGGUAAUAGCCUACCAAGGCGACGAUCCAUAGCUGGUCUGAGAGGAUGAUCAGCCACACUGGGACUGAGACACGGCCCAGCCUCCUACGGGAGGCAGCAGUGGGGAAUACUAGACAAUGGGCGAAAGCCUGAUCCAGCAAUGCCGCGUGAGUGAUGAAGGCCUUAGGGUUGUAAAGCUCUUUUACCCGGGAUGAUAAUGACGGUACCGGGAGAAUAAGCCCCGGCUAACUCCGUG